UGACAGGCGUAAACGUAAGAG
Molecule: non-coding RNA, 21 nt
Organism: Caenorhabditis elegans
Lineage: Eukaryota; Metazoa; Nematoda; Chromadorea; Rhabditida; Rhabditidae
Source: Ensembl